This 492-nucleotide ribosomal RNA is filed under the name uncultured bacterium. Its description in RNAcentral is "partial 16S ribosomal RNA". It matches the Rfam family "Bacterial small subunit ribosomal RNA", at positions 29 to 507 of the family's 1533-position model. The record is from RNAcentral.
AGUGAACGCUGGCGGUAUGCCUAACACAUGCAAGUCGAACGGCAGCACAGUAAUAGCUUGCUCUUACGGUGGGCGAGUGGCGGAUGGGUGAUGAAUACAUCGGAAUCUACUUUUUCGUAGGGGAUAACGUAGGGAAACUUACGCUAAUACCGCAUACUACCUACGGGUGAAAGCAGGGGAUCUUCCGAUCUUGGGCGAUUUAAUGAGCCGUUGUCGGAUUGGCUAGUUGGCGGGGUAAAGGCCCACCAACGGGACGAUCCGUUGCGGGGCUGAGAGGAUGUACAGCGACACUGGAGCUGGACCACGGUCCAGAGUCCUACGGGAGGCCGAAGCGGGGAAUAUUGGCAGAUGGGCGGAAGCCUGAUCCAGCCGUACCGCCUGGGUGCAGAGGGGCUUCGGGUUGUAAAGCCCUUUUGUUGGGAAAGAAAAGCAGCAGGUUAAUCCCACGCUGUUCUGACGGUACCCAAGGAAUAAGCACCGGCUAACUUCGUG